This 398-nucleotide ribosomal RNA is filed under the name Aedes aegypti (yellow fever mosquito). RNAcentral's name for it is "rRNA AAEL028969". It matches the Rfam family "Eukaryotic small subunit ribosomal RNA", at positions 477 to 1116 of the family's 1831-position model. Lineage: Eukaryota; Metazoa; Arthropoda; Insecta; Diptera; Culicidae. The record is from Rfam by way of RNAcentral.
CUGUAGGAAUACUUCCAGAAGUUCUUUCGGAAAAUCGACUGAUUUUAGCAACGAAAUACUCAGGAAGAUGCCCAGGAGUUCCUCUAAAUUAGCGGCAAGUCUAGUGCCAGCAGCCGCGGUAAUUCCAGCUCCACUAAUGUUUAUUAAAAUUGUUGCGAUUGAAACGUUCGAAGUUUAUUCUUGUCCAACACGGGUGCUACUCCUAAUGGCAGUAGGUCACUGGAUUGUUGUUAAAUUGGCAGACCGUCAUAAGACUAACAUAAGCGAAACCAUUGCCAUGUAUGCUUUCAUUAAUCAAGAACGCCCUAGUGCUAACCGUAAACUAUGCCUAUUAGCAAUUGGAAGACACUACAUUAUUGUGCUCUCAGUAGCUUCCAGGAAACCAAAAUUAGGUUCCG